AGAGUUUGAUUCUGGCUCAGGAUAACGUUGGCUGUGUGCCUAAGGUAUGCAAGUCGAACGAACUCGCGCUGUGAGUGGCAAACGGGUGAGUAACACGUGGAUAACCUGCCUUAAAGUCAUGAACAGCUCAUCGAAAGAUGGGAUAAUACAUGAUACUUACAAUUUCUAUCACUUUGUAAGUAAAGCUCCGGCGCUUUAAGAGGGGUCCGCGUCCUAUCAGCUUGUUGGUGAGGUAAUAGCUCACCAAGGCUAAGACGGGUAGCUGGCGUGAGAGCGCGGUCAGCCACCAUGGAACUGAGACACGGUCCAUACUCCUACGGGAGGCAGCAAUUAGGAAUCUUGCGCAAUGGGGGCAACCCUGACGCAGCGACACAGCGUGGAGGCGGUUCGUUGACUCCUUUUAUGUGGGAUAGAACCAUAUGAAUAAGCACCUGCAACUACGUGCCAGAAGCAUCGGUGAUACGUAGGGUGCGAACGUUAUCCGGAUUUAUUGGGCGUAUAGAGAGCGUAGGCGUUUCUGUAAGUCUAAAGUUAAAGCCCACGGCUCAACCGUGGAAAAGCUUUGGAAACUGCAGAAAUUGAGACAGGAAGAGGCGAAUGGAAUUCCCAGUGGAGCGGUGAAAUGCGUUGAUAUUGGGAGGAACAUCAGUGGCGAAGGCGAUUCGCUGGUCCUGUCUGACGCUGAGGCUCGAAAGCGUGNGUAGCAAAACGGAUUAGAUACCCUGGUAGUCCACGCCGUANACGAUGAAUACUAGGUGUAAAACUCGGUGCCGCAGCUAACGCAUUAAGUAUUCCGCCUGGGGAGUACGCACGCAAGUGUGAAAACUCAAGGAAUUGACGGGGGCCCGCACAAGCGGUGGCAUGUGGGUUUAUUCGACGCAACGGGAAGAACCUUACCAGGACAUCCGUGACAACUUAUGAAAGUAGGUCUUUUUCUGACGAAGGUGGUGCAUGGUUGUCGUCAGCUCGUGUCGUGAGAUGUUGGGUUAAGUCCCGCAACGAGCGCAACCCUUACGGUUAGUUGCCAGCGGUUAAAGCCGGGCACUCUAGAAAACGGAGGAAGGUGGGGAUGACGUCAAAUCAUCAUGCCCUUUAUAUCGUGGGGUACACACGUGCUACAAUGGCCUGUACAGAGGGCAGCGAAGGGGCAACCUGGAGCGAUCCCAAAAGCAGGUCUCAGUUGGGAUUGCAGGCUGCAAUUGGCCUGCAUGAAGUGGGAAUGGUUAGUAAUCGCAGGUCAGCAAGCUGCGGUGAAUAGGUUCCCGGGGUCUG
RNAcentral lists this ribosomal RNA (1272 nucleotides) under uncultured candidate division WS6 bacterium. RNAcentral describes it as "bacterial SSU rRNA". It matches the Rfam family "Bacterial small subunit ribosomal RNA", at positions 8 to 1383 of the family's 1533-position model. The record is from RNAcentral.